RNAcentral lists this ribosomal RNA (605 nucleotides) under uncultured bacterium. RNAcentral's name for it is "bacterial SSU rRNA". It matches the Rfam family "Bacterial small subunit ribosomal RNA", at positions 888 to 1496 of the family's 1533-position model. The record is from RNAcentral.
GCAAGAUUAAAACUCAAAGGAAUAGACGGGGACCCGCACAAGUGGUGGAGCAUGUGGUUUAAUUCGAAGAUACGCGAAGAACCUUACCUAGCCUUGACAUUGAUAGAAUCUUCCAGAGAUGGAGAAGUGCCUUUCGGGGAACUUGAAAACAGGUGCUGCACGGCUGUCGUCAGCUCGUGUCGUGAGAUGUUGGGUUAAGUCCCGCAACGAGCGCAACCCUCGUCAUUAGUUACUAACAGUUCGGCUGAGGACUCUAAUGAGACUGCCUUCGUAAGGAGGAGGAAGGUGAGGACGACGUCAAGUCAUCAUGGCCCUUACGGCUAGGGCGACACACGUGCUACAAUGGUUAGGACAAUGAGAAGCGAUACCGCGAGGUGGAGCAAAUCUAUAAACCUAAUCUCAGUUCGGAUUGUAGUCUGCAACUCGACUACAUGAAGCUGGAAUCACUAGUAAUCGUAGAUCAGCCAUGCUACGGUGAAUACGUUCCCGGGUCUUGUACUCACCGCCCGUCACACCAUGGGAGUUGAUUUCACCCGAAGCGGGGAAGCUAAACUGGCUACCCUCCACGGUGGAAUUAGCGACUGGGGUGAAGUCGAAGAAACAGC